Molecule: antisense RNA, 75 nt
Filed under: Streptomyces sp. PRh5
Lineage: Bacteria; Bacillati; Actinomycetota; Actinomycetes; Kitasatosporales; Streptomycetaceae
Description: ASpks sRNA
Rfam family: ASpks TB sRNA
Source: RNAcentral
CUUCACCGACCCCAGCCACAACGGCCGGUCUCCGUCCCGGUCGCGACCGUACGUGGCCAGCAGCGCCUGCGCCUC